ACUGGGCACUGCAGCCAGCAACCUCUACAUUUCUGUGCUUAACUGCACAGUGCAGACAGAUGUUGCUUUCAGCUUUACCCUGCAAUAAUGCCACUACCGGAACUACACAAUAUAUUUGUUUGGGUUACGCUGGCACAGGAAGAGGAUUUCAAACUCACUUGCAGUUAUUAGUGAUCUCAUCUGCAUGACAUUAUCUGUACUACAGGAUUCCCUUGGGUUACCCCAUCUGGUAAGCAUCUGGCGUUGUCCUGUAAGCCAUCAUUUCCACUAUUGCAGCCAUCAACCAAGAGGUCAGAUUUUGAGCCUCUCUUCAAAUGAAUGUAGAUUUGUUCCUGUCAUCACCAAGGCAACUAACAAUUCCAAUGAACAACUCAGCAACAACAAAGAAAAUUUAUUGAAGCAAUUGUAUUUGUGAAAAGUUAUGUUUCUAUCUUCAUAAAUAUGUCAAAAAAUAUUCAUUUAAACUAUAGGCGUAUAAAGGACCUCGGAAACCUAUUACAACCCACUUAGCUAGCUCCAGUUGUGAGGAAGUAUCACAUCCUACUAAACAUAUUAUACCUAUCUGUCAAUCUUCUUCAGACAAUUUGCUGAUAGAAUCAAUUACACGUCUUUCCUUCACAGAUCCUUCAGAACAUUUGCUAACUUCAAUUUAAAGCAGUUACAUCUAAACCAUCUUUUCACUCUCGGUCUUUCAGACUUGAAAUUAGCCCAUCCUGCUGUAGAUUAUUCAUCAAAAAAAAAUGACAGUUACUUGUUCAAGUCCAUGAAAUUACCUCACAUAACAAUGAAUUGAAUGAAACUGAAGCCAAAUUCAAACUUUCCGAUCAAACGUUUGCUUUUAAUCAAUUUUUUGGAGUCACUUCAUCCUUGCGUCCUGUAGGAUAACCAGAUGUAGGUUUCCAACAGAGGAAAUGACGUCCAAUUUACCUAACCAUUUCUACCCAUGACCUUAAUUAUAUAUGCUGCAUCGCUGGAGGCUACUUCCCAAGGAUAAUAGGAACCGUCUGUCAGAGCCCCCAGGAGCAGUCACCUGUAAUCACCAAGAAAGAAAAAGAGACCAAAUUAUUAGCAGGUCAACACUCACAUCUUUUUCUCAUUGGGCACUCCUCAUUAAGUGAUCUCUAAAAGUCAAACACAGGUGAGGCAUCCAAUGAGCAAAACGUCCAUACGUUACUGAGCUCAUCUCAGAAGCAACUGAACACGCACAGAAAUGCUUAAUUACUGCAAAGUCAAAGAGUAUUUGGGGUGCUUAACAUAUUUGACACAUUAUUUUCAGUGCAGUGGUUAAAUCAUUUGCACCGAUUCCUAGUCUGGGCUAUUUCAGAAUAAUGACUUUGUUAGAUAUUUUUAUUCAUGUUAAAUAAUACAGA
Long non-coding RNA from Stegostoma tigrinum, 1370 nucleotides. RefSeq lists it as uncharacterized. The transcript is spliced from 3 exons. The record is from RefSeq and is a predicted model, not a curated record. Lineage: Eukaryota; Metazoa; Chordata; Chondrichthyes; Orectolobiformes; Stegostomatidae.